This is a non-coding RNA of Punica granatum (pomegranate), 86 nucleotides long. Lineage: Eukaryota; Viridiplantae; Streptophyta; Magnoliopsida; Myrtales; Lythraceae. The record is from Rfam.
GUUCCCUAUGAUGCUUAAUAUCAGACCAUGCUAGUGCUGAUCAAUUCUAGGAUUGAUUCUUUUCUCUAUUAAUUUAUGAAGGAACU